RNAcentral lists this ribosomal RNA (138 nucleotides) under uncultured bacterium. RNAcentral describes it as "partial 16S ribosomal RNA". It matches the Rfam family "Bacterial small subunit ribosomal RNA", at positions 355 to 509 of the family's 1533-position model. The record is from RNAcentral.
UGGGGAAUAUUGCACAAUGGGGGAAAACCCUGAUGCAGCGACGCCGCGUGAAGGAAGAAGUAUCUCGGUAUGUAAACUUCUAUCAGCAGGGAAGAAAGUGACGGUACCUGACUAAGAAGCCCUGGCUAACUACGUGCC